Molecule: unclassified non-coding RNA, 345 nt
Filed under: soil metagenome
Description: partial contains 5.8S ribosomal RNA, internal transcribed spacer 2, and large subunit ribosomal RNA
Rfam family: 5.8S ribosomal RNA (bases 1-120)
Source: RNAcentral
GAUGAAGAACGCAGCGAAAUGCGAUACGUAAUGUGAAUUGCAGAAUUCAGUGAAUCAUCGAGUCUUUGAACGCACAUUGCGCCCUCUGGUAUUCCGGAGGGCAUGCCUGUCCGAGCGUCAUUGCUGCCCUCAAGCACGGCUUGUGUGUUGGGCCCCGCCCCCCGAUCCCGGGGGGCGGGCCCGAAAGGCAGCGGCGGCACCGCGUCCGGUCCUCGAGCGUAUGGGGCUUUGUCACCCGCUCUGUAGGCCCGGCCGGCGCUUGCCGAUCAACCAAACUUUUUUCCAGGUUGACCUCGGAUCAGGUAGGGAUACCCGCUGAACUUAAGCAUAUCAAUAAGCGGAGGA